Molecule: long non-coding RNA, 463 nt
Filed under: Homo sapiens (human)
Lineage: Eukaryota; Metazoa; Chordata; Mammalia; Primates; Hominidae
Description: HSALNT0069607
Source: RNAcentral
AAGGCAUCCAAGGGUCACCUAAAUCUGCUGUCCAAGGAGAGCACAAUUCAGUUCCUUCGGUUUGUGCCAUCUUUCCACCUUAUUCCAUCUUCUCUAAAACAUCUACCCAAGGAAAUUCUUGGUCCUUUGAGCUCACUGGAGUGACUCCUAAAAACAGAGAAGUCUUCAGUAGCUGCCUCUGAAGCCCCAAGUCCAGCAUUGGCUCAACUGACCAGAAAGGUUAUUAAAUGGAAGACAGAGAAAAAGCAAGCAAAAUGUACGUGACCAUAGAAUGACAGGAUGGAAAAUCCUUCAGUAAAUUCAUUGGUGACAUAUUUCAAGAGUAAAAACUGAUUUCCAAGUCUCACUGAGGACCUGGCCUGAUUCCUUGGGUGGGACAAGGAAUUUCCAUCUUUUAAUGGAUGCAUUCAGAUCCUCUAAACAAGUGGAUGACCUUUAAUUCAUUAACUUUUUUAAAUCAUUA